UCUYAAAGAUUAAGCCAUGCACGUCUUAGUACAUACCGUUUUAAGGUGAAACCGCGAAUGGCUCAUUAAAUCAGUUACGGUUCAUUGGCUACUACAAUCCUACAUGGAUAACUGUGGUAAUUCUAGAGCUAAUACAUGCAACAAGUCCCCGACUCUUUGCUAGAAGGGGCGCAUUUAUUAUGCCAAGACCAAUGGCGCCCUUGUGGUGUCUUGUUAUGGCGACUCUGAAUAACUGAGCAGAUCGCACGGCCUAUGAGCUGGCGAUAUAGCCUUCAAGCGUCUGCCUUAUCAACUGUCGAUGGUAGGUUAUGUGCCUACCAUGGUUGUAACGGGUGACGGGGAAUCAGGGUUCGAUUCCGGAGAGGGAGCCUGAGAAACGGCUACCACAUCCAAGGAAGGCAGCAGGCACGCAAAUUACCCACUCCCGGCACGGGGAGGUAGUGACAAAAAAUAACAAUACGGGACUCUAUUGAGGCCCCGUAAUUGGAAUGAGAACAAUAUAAAUCCUUUAUCGAGGAUCUAUUGGAGGGCAAGUCUGGUGCCAGCAGCCGCGGUAAUUCCAGCUCCAAUAGCGUAUAUAAAAGUUGUUGCGGUUAAAAAGCUCGUAGUUGAAUUUCAGCGCGUGCUUUAUGGUCCACUUAUAUGUGGCUACUGUUUUGCCGCGCAAACUGCGGAUUACUGUUUAGUAAUGGCCUUAACCGGCUGUUUCUAGCGGUCCGUAACUUUACUUUGAACAAAUUAGAGUGCUCAAAGCAGGCUGUUUACUGCCUGAAUAUUUCUUGCAUGGAGUAAUGGAAUAGGACAUUGGUUCUAUUUUGUUGGUCUUAAGAACCAAAUGUAAUGAUUAAGAGGGACAGACGGGGGCAUUAGUAUUGCGGCGCUAGAGGUGAAAUUCUUGGACCGUCGCAAGACUAACUACAGCGAAAGCAUUUGCCAAGAAUGUUUUCAUUAAUCAAGAACGAAAGUUAGAGGUUCGAAGGCGAUCAGAUACCGCCCUAGUUCUAACCAUAAACGAUGCCAACCAGCGAUCAGCCGGUGUUCUUUUAAUGACUCGGCUGGAAGCUUCCGGGAAACCAAAGUCUUUGGGUUCCGGGGGAAGUAUGGUUGCAAAGCUGAAACUUAAAGGAAUUGACGGAAGGGCACCACCAGGAGUGGAGCCUGCGGCUUAAUUUGACUCAACACGGGAAAACUCACCCGGCCCGGACAUUGAAAGGAUUGACAGAUUGAGAGCUCUUUCUUGAUUCAAUGGGUGGUGGUGCAUGGCCGUUCUUAGUUGGUGGAGUGAUUUGUCUGGUUAAUUCCGAUAACGAACGAGACUCCAGCCUACUAAAUAGACCUUGCGUUCAUUUAUUUGCGCGCAAGGGACUUCUUAGAGGAACAGGCGGCGUUUCAGCCGCACGAAACGGAGCAAUAACAGGUCUGUGAUGCCCCUAGAUGUCCGGUGCUGCACGCGCGCUACAAUGAAACGAUCAGCGUGCUAGUUUACUCUGCUCCGAGAGGAGUGGGUAACCCGCUGAACCCGUUUCGUGAUGGGGACUGGGCAUUGUAAUUAUUGCCCACAAACGAGGAAUUCCCAGUAAGCGCGAGUCAUAAGCUUGCGUUGAUUACGUCCCUGCCCUUUGUACACACCGCCCGUCGCUACUACCGAUUGAAUGAUUUAAUGAGGUCUUCGGACCGGCGCUAAUCGGCCACGUAAGUGGUCGUGAUGUGCUGGAAAGAUGAUCAAAUUUGAUCAUUUAGAGGAAGUAAAAGUCGUAA
This 1758-nucleotide ribosomal RNA is filed under the name Caligonellidae gen. sp. AD1306. RNAcentral's name for it is "SSU rRNA". It matches the Rfam family "Eukaryotic small subunit ribosomal RNA". Lineage: Eukaryota; Metazoa; Arthropoda; Arachnida; Trombidiformes; Caligonellidae. The record is from RNAcentral.